This 347-nucleotide RNase P RNA is filed under the name fish gut metagenome. RNAcentral describes it as "Bacterial RNase P class A". It matches the Rfam family "Bacterial RNase P class A". From Rfam's summary of the family: Ribonuclease P (RNase P) is a ubiquitous endoribonuclease, found in archaea, bacteria and eukarya as well as chloroplasts and mitochondria. The record is from RNAcentral.
UCUGUCGCUCUAUGCUUGUCAUAAAGAGGAAAGUCCGGGCAACGCAGAGCAUCGCAUUUUCUAACGGAAAGCCGGCGGCGACGUCGGGGAUAAGGUGACAGAAAAUGACCGCCUCGAGGUCAACGGGCCCGGGGUAAGGGUGAAAAGGUGGGGUAAGAGCCCACCGGUCGAUAUGGCGACAUAUCGAGCCGCACUUCCUGCGAGUUGCAAGGUCAAAUAUACCGGCAUCUAAGGGCUGCUCGUCCAUUGUCGGGGGGUAGACUGCUAUAGCGCGCCGUGCAAGCGGCCGCAAAGAUAAAUGACAGACACUCCAUAAUAACAAGGAGCACAUAACCCGGCUUAUAUCA